This 490-nucleotide ribosomal RNA is filed under the name uncultured bacterium. RNAcentral describes it as "partial 16S ribosomal RNA". It matches the Rfam family "Bacterial small subunit ribosomal RNA", at positions 28 to 507 of the family's 1533-position model. The record is from RNAcentral.
GAUGAACGCUCGCUACAGGCUUAACACAUGCAAGUCGAGGGGAAACGAUGAGAGAGCUUGCUCUCUUAGGCGUCGACCGGCGCACGGGUGAGUAACGCGUAUCCAACCUACCCAUUACAGGGGGAUAACCUUGCGAAAGUAAGACUAAUGCCCCAUGGCAUUUUAUGGUGGCAUCAUUAUAGGAUUAAAGAUUUAUUGGUAAUGGAUGGGGAUGCGUCUGAUUAGCUUGUUGGCGGGGUAACGGCCCACCAAGGCAACGAUCAGUAGGGGUUCUGAGAGGAAGGUCCCCCACAUUGGAACUGAGACACGGUCCAAACUCCUACGGGAGGCAGCAGUGAGGAAUAUUGGUCAAUGGGCGAGAGCUUGAACCAGCCAAGUAGCGUGCAGGAUGACGGCCCUAUGGGUUGUAAACUGCUUUUAUAGGGGAAUAAAGUGAGAUACGUGUAGUUUAUUGCAUGUACCCUAUGAAUAAGAACCGGCUAAUUCCGUG